GCUAACUACUUCUAUUCUUCUCCUCCACCACCUGUUAAGCACUACGAAUACAAAUCACCACCUCCUCCGGUUAAGCACUACCCUCCCCCUCCGGUUUAUCAUUCUCCACCACCACCUAAGAAACACUACGAAUAUAAAUCUCCACCUCCUCCAGUUAAACACUACUCUCCACCACCGGUUUACCACUCUCCACCACCCCCAAAGAAGCACUACGUGUACAAAUCCCCUCCACCCCCGGUUAAGCACUACUCUCCUCCUCCCGUUUACCAUUCUCCACCACCACCAAAGAAACACUACGUGUACAAGUCCCCUCCUCCUCCGGUUAAACACUAUUCUCCUCCUCCGGUUUACCACUCUCCACCACCUCCUAAGAAGGACUACGUCUACAAAUCUCCACCCCCACCGGUUAAGCACUACUCUCCCCCACCAGUCUACCACUCACCACCAC
Molecule: long non-coding RNA, 448 nt
Filed under: Brassica napus (rape)
Lineage: Eukaryota; Viridiplantae; Streptophyta; Magnoliopsida; Brassicales; Brassicaceae
Description: long non-coding RNA (BNAP_LNC005968)
Source: RNAcentral